This 492-nucleotide ribosomal RNA is filed under the name uncultured bacterium. RNAcentral's name for it is "partial 16S ribosomal RNA". It matches the Rfam family "Bacterial small subunit ribosomal RNA", at positions 28 to 507 of the family's 1533-position model. The record is from RNAcentral.
GAUGAACGCUAGCUACAGGCUUAACACAUGCAAGUCGAGGGGAAACGACAUCGAAAGCUUGCUUUUGAUGGGCGUCGACCGGCGCACGGGUGAGUAACGCGUAUCCAACCUGCCCAUCACUUGGGGAUAACCUUGCGAAAGUAAGACUAAUACCCAAUGAUAUCUCUAGAAGACAUCUGAAAGAGAUUAAAGAUUUAUCGGUGAUGGAUGGGGAUGCGUCUGAUUAGCUUGUUGGCGGGGUAACGGCCCACCAAGGCAACGAUCAGUAGGGGUUCUGAGAGGAAGGUCCCCCACAUUGGAACUGAGACACGGUCCAAACUCCUACGGGAGGCAGCAGUGAGGAAUAUUGGUCAAUGGGCGAGAGCCUGAACCAGCCAAGUAGCGUGCAGGAAGACGGCCCUAUGGGUGGUAAACUGCUUUUAUAAGGGAAGAAAGUGAGAGUCGUGACUCUUUUUGUAUGUACCUUAUGAAUAAGAACCGGCUAAUUCCGUG